AGAGCGAACGCUGGCGGCAGGCCUAACACAUGCAAGUCGAGCGCCCCGCAAGGGGAGCGGCAGACGGGAGAGUAACACGUGGGAACGUACCCUUCAGUUCGGAACAACCCAGGGAAACUUGGGCUAAUACCGAAUACGUCCGUAAGGAGAAAGAUUUAUCGCUGAAGGAUCGGCCCGCGUCUGAUUAGCUUGUUGGUGAGGUAAUGGCUCACCAAGGCUACGAUCAGUAGCUGGUCUGAGAGGAUGAUCAGCCUCACUGGGACUGAGACACGGCCCAGACUCCUACGGGAGGCAGCAGUGGGGAAUAUUGGACAAUGGGCGCAAGCCUGAUCCAGCCAUGCCGCGUGGGUGAUGAAGGCCCUAGGGUUGUAAAAGCCCUUUCGGCGGGGAAGAUAAUGACGGUACCCGCAGAAGAAGCCCGGCUAACUUCGCGCCAGCAGCCGC
Molecule: ribosomal RNA, 444 nt
Filed under: uncultured bacterium
Lineage: Bacteria
Description: SSU rRNA
Rfam family: Bacterial small subunit ribosomal RNA
Source: RNAcentral